Molecule: long non-coding RNA, 291 nt
Filed under: Rhinopithecus bieti (black snub-nosed monkey)
Lineage: Eukaryota; Metazoa; Chordata; Mammalia; Primates; Cercopithecidae
Description: lncRNA (ENSRBIG00000045527.1)
Source: RNAcentral
AGAUGUUUACAGCAAUGCUGAGUGUUUUCAUUUCAUUCAGUCAUAUCCCUGUUGUCCAUUUCACAGGAAACUGGGUUGCAGACAACUGAUCUAACUUGUCCAAUAUCACAUAGCUAGCAAUUGGUGAGGCAGGAUGCUUGCAAAAUCAUACUCCUCACCAUUAUGCCAUCUUACCUCUUAAAAGGUUGUAAGAAUAAAUUCAGUUUCCACAAAUGGUUUGUUGGAAAGGUGGCAAGAGAGGACAAGAAAAAUGUCUCAAAUGUCUUAAUGAGGCAUCACAGAUACCUGUAA